AUCCUUAUGCAAGGGCAUUACGUGUAUCAGUGAGGAUUCGUCCGAGAUCAUGUUUUUGCUGGUUGAAAACUAACCAUGACUGCUUUCAUCUGUGACAAACGGAUGAAGAAUUUUUGGGCCAUUUUGUUGC
RNAcentral lists this small nuclear RNA (130 nucleotides) under Komagataella phaffii GS115. RNAcentral's name for it is "U4 spliceosomal RNA". It matches the Rfam family "U4 spliceosomal RNA". From Rfam's summary of the family: U4 small nuclear RNA (U4 snRNA) is a component of the major U2-dependent spliceosome. The structure of U4 snRNA from yeast and human has been reported. The record is from Rfam by way of RNAcentral. Lineage: Eukaryota; Fungi; Ascomycota; Pichiomycetes; Pichiales; Pichiaceae.